Long non-coding RNA from Pipra filicauda (Wire-tailed manakin), 1336 nucleotides. RefSeq lists it as uncharacterized. The transcript is spliced from 3 exons. NCBI's taxonomy places the organism in Eukaryota, Metazoa, Chordata, Aves, Passeriformes, Pipridae. The record is from RefSeq and is a predicted model, not a curated record.
CUACAGGAACUCCAGGAACUCCUGGUGCCGCCUGGGCCGAUGGAUUGGACGCCCCAGCCCCUCUGUUCCUGCCCAACCACUGGGUCCAUGUCGAGUGGUGGGACUGCCAGCCCUGCAGUGGGAUGUAGCCUUGAAACUCCACCGAGUUGAGCCAAGGGAUUUAAAGGUACUAAGCAUGGGAGGUGAAGAAAGAAGGAAGAAGGGAACUGAGGCAUCAGCCAAGCAGCACCAAGUUCCUGUGUAAGCAGAAGUUGCACUUGAUCAACUUCCCAUCUGAGCGGAUCUUCAGAGCUGAUGCCUGUGGCAGGAGAAGUUCUCAGCAAGGAGGCUCUUUCCUCCUAGGCAGAAAGGUCAGUGCCCUUUCUCCCCAAGGCCCAGUACAGCAGGGCUUCCAGGAGCUGCUGGUGUGGCUGCUCUUUGGGUUCUCAGCUGUGCCCAUGGGGUGGUGAUAUCGUGUUCCUGCCUGUGCUCCAGGGUAGCCAAAAGCCCCAGCACAGCCCCUGGACCUUUUUGGGAGCCUGAGCUAUUGCAGCACUGAGGAUGGGCUUGGUUUCCUUCUCUCCUCAGAGUAAAACUGUAUGGGGGAGUCUCUGAUCUCCCUGAUUUUUGUAUCAUAACUGGAACUGGGAAGAAAGUUCACCCUGUGUAAUUUAUCAAGUGACUUGGCCUGGUUGAACCAGCAGUGCCAGAUUGUUGUAGUGUGCAGGUUAUUGUUUGUGUCUGAGCUGUUUGGUGUUUCUUUACCAAGGAAGGCCAUGGAAUGUUACGGUAUUUUUGUCCCAGUAUUGGAGGUAGUGCCCUGGAUUAGUUGAUUUCUGCCUCACUCCCUGGUAUCUGAGUCUUGAGAUGUACCAAGAACUGGUAGUUUUUGCAGUGGGAUGUACCCUAGAAACUGCAUGGAGCUGAGCCAAGGGAUUUAAAGGGACUAAGCAAGGGAGGUGAAGAAACAAAGAAGAAGGGAACUGAAACAGCAGCAAAGCAGCACCAAGUUCCUCUAAAACCAGGUAAAUUGUCUUGAAGUUGCUAAGGUGAUCACUCAGAACUUUGGGCGAUGCAAGCACAGGUGACCACGAGAGACCCCCAAUGGAGCCCCUCAGAGACACUAUAAGGGUUUGUGUUUAUGGUAACAGGUGUUGGGAAUGUCCUGAACACAGAACAGGAAUGCAGGGAAGGAAAAUGAACCCUCCUGUAAUGCUGACCCCUCCCAUCAGCUGCAGUGGAGACCCCUCCGUGUGCCCUUUGGGAGCGGAUUGCCAGGACCCCCGUGGGGCUGGGAUCAUGGCAGGGUGUUGUAAGCAAGGAAUGCCUGGCUUCUAAAACUCACCCGCUGAGUGUU